This 492-nucleotide ribosomal RNA is filed under the name uncultured bacterium. RNAcentral's name for it is "partial 16S ribosomal RNA". It matches the Rfam family "Bacterial small subunit ribosomal RNA", at positions 29 to 507 of the family's 1533-position model. The record is from RNAcentral.
AGUGAACGCUGGCGGUAGGCCUAACACAUGCAAGUCGAACGGCAGCACAGUAAGAGCUUGCUCUUACGGGUGGCGAGUGGCGGACGGGGGAGGAAUACAUCGGAAUCUACUUUUUCGUGGGGGAUAACGGAGGGAAACUUACGCUAAUACCGCAUACGACCUACGGGUGAAAGCAGGGGAUCUUCGGACCUUGCGCGAUUGAAUGAGCCGAUGUCGGAUUAGCUAGUUGGCGGGGUAAAGGCCCACCAAGGCGACGAUCCGUAGCUGGUCUGAGAGGAUGAUCAGCCACACUGGAACUGAGACACGGUCCAGACUCCUACGGGAGGCAGCAGUGGGGAAUAUUGGACAAAGGGCGCAAGCCUGAUCCAGCCAUACCGCGUGGGUGAAGAAGGCCUUCGGGUUGUAAAGCCCUUUUGUUGGGAAAGAAAAGCAGCAGGUUAAUACCCCGCUGUUCUGACGGUACCCAAAGAAUAAGCACCGGCUAACUUCGUG